AUAAAAACAAACAAAAAGAAACAUGCACUUUUUUUUUUAGUUUUUAUGUUGUUUU
This 55-nucleotide small RNA is filed under the name Arabidopsis thaliana (thale cress). RNAcentral describes it as "ATSL110000". The record is from RNAcentral. Lineage: Eukaryota; Viridiplantae; Streptophyta; Magnoliopsida; Brassicales; Brassicaceae.